CAGCAGCCGCGGGAAAACGAAGGGUGCAAGCGUUAAUCGGAAUUACUGGGCGUAAAGCGCGCGUAGGUGGUUUGUUAAGAUGGAUGUGAAAUCCCCGGGCUCAACCUGGGAACUGCAUCCAUAACUGCCUGACUAGAGUACGGUAGAGGGUGGUGGAAUUUCCUGUGUAGCGGUGAAAUGCGUAGAUAUAGGAAGGAACACCAGUGGCGAAGGCGACCACCUGGACUGAUACUGACACUGAGGUGCGAAAGCGUGGGGAGCAAACAGGAUUAGAUACCCGCGUAGUCCCUGUCUCUUAUAA
This 301-nucleotide ribosomal RNA is filed under the name uncultured bacterium. RNAcentral's name for it is "partial 16S ribosomal RNA". It matches the Rfam family "Bacterial small subunit ribosomal RNA", at positions 509 to 809 of the family's 1533-position model. The record is from RNAcentral.